GUCUAUGGCCAUACCACCCUGAAUUCGCCCGAUUCUGAUCUCAAAAGCUAAGCAGGGUUGGGCCUGGUUAGUACUUGGAUGGGAGUGUGUUUUGCCUAGCAAGUGUGAGGCCCUGAGUUCAAACCCCAGUGCCACC
RNAcentral lists this ribosomal RNA (136 nucleotides) under Castor canadensis (American beaver). The record is from RNAcentral. Lineage: Eukaryota; Metazoa; Chordata; Mammalia; Rodentia; Castoridae.